Molecule: ribosomal RNA, 460 nt
Filed under: uncultured Bacteroidota bacterium
Lineage: Bacteria; Pseudomonadati; Bacteroidota
Description: bacterial SSU rRNA
Rfam family: Bacterial small subunit ribosomal RNA
Source: RNAcentral
CCUACGGGUGGCUGCAGUGAGGAAUAUUGGACAAUGGGCGCAAGCCUGAUCCAGCCAUGCCGCGUGAAGGAUGAAGGCCCUAUGGGUCGUAAACUUCUUUUAUACGGGACAAAACCCCUCCUCGUGAGGAGGGUUGAUGGUACUGUAAGAAUAAGGGUCGGCUAACUUCGUGCCAGCAGCCGCGGUAAUACGAAGGACCCGAGCGUUAUCCGGAUUUAUUGGGUUUAAAGGGUGCGUAGGCGGAUUAGUAAGUCAGUGGUGAAAGCCCGUCGCUUAACGGCGGAACUGCCAUUGAUACUGCUAGUCUUGAGUAUGGUUGAGGUGGGCGGAAUGUGUCAUGUAGCGGUGAAAUGCUUAGAUAUGACACAGAACACCAAUUGCGAAGGCAGCUCGCUAAGCCAUAACUGACGCUGAGGCACGAAAGCGUGGGGAGCAAACAGGAUUAGAUACCCCAGUAGUC